GAAUUAGGGUUCGAUUCCGGAGAGGGAGCCUGAGAAACGGCUACCACAUCUAAGGAAGGCAGCAGGCGCGCAAAUUACCCAAUCCCGACUCGGGGAGGUAGUGACAAUAAAUAACAAUGCUGGGCUAUUGUAGUCUGGCAAUUGGAAUGAGUACAAUCUAAAUCCCUUAACGAGGAACAAUUGGAGGGCAAGUCUGGUGCCAGCAGCCGCGGUAAUUCCAGCUCCAAUAGCGUAUAUUAAAGUUGUUGCAGUUAAAAAGCUCGUAGUUGGAUUUCGGGGAGGCCUGGCUGGUC
RNAcentral lists this ribosomal RNA (293 nucleotides) under Phakellia cribrosa. RNAcentral describes it as "partial 18S ribosomal RNA". It matches the Rfam family "Eukaryotic small subunit ribosomal RNA", at positions 367 to 660 of the family's 1831-position model. Lineage: Eukaryota; Metazoa; Porifera; Demospongiae; Axinellida; Axinellidae. The record is from RNAcentral.